UACGGAGGAUGCGAGCGUUAUCCGGAUUCAUUGGGUUUAAAGGGUGCGCAGGCGGAUAUAUAAGUCGGAGGUGAAAUUCUGAUGCUCAACAUCAGCCGUGCCUUCGAUACUGUAUAUCUAGAGUCAAGUUGGAGUAGGCGGAAUGUGUUGUGUAGCGGUGAAAUGCUUAGAUAUAACACAGAACACCGAUCGCGAAGGCAGCUUACUAAACUUUGACUGACGCUCAUGCACGAAAGCGUGGGGAUCAAACAGG
Molecule: ribosomal RNA, 253 nt
Filed under: uncultured bacterium
Lineage: Bacteria
Description: partial 16S ribosomal RNA
Rfam family: Bacterial small subunit ribosomal RNA
Source: RNAcentral